This 206-nucleotide non-coding RNA is filed under the name Halalkalibacter hemicellulosilyticus. RNAcentral's name for it is "Bacillus hemicellulosilyticus T-box sequence". It matches the Rfam family "T-box leader". From Rfam's summary of the family: Uncharged tRNA acts as the effector for transcription antitermination of genes in the T-box leader family. Lineage: Bacteria; Bacillati; Bacillota; Bacilli; Caryophanales; Bacillaceae. The record is from RNAcentral.
GAAAAAACGUAGAAAAAGGAUUAGUAUAGCUAGUUGCUUUGUUAAGAGAGCUGGUGGUAGGUGCGAACCAGUCAAACGCUAGUUAGAAUCUCCCUUUGAGUGAAGAGUGAAAAGCUCUUACAGUUGCCGCUGUUAUCGGCAAAAGUGGUAUAGAAUGAUAGUGGUUCUAUACAACAAGGGUGGCAACGCGGGAAACCGUCCCUUCU